Nothobranchius furzeri (turquoise killifish) is the source of this 460-nucleotide non-coding RNA. NCBI's taxonomy places the organism in Eukaryota, Metazoa, Chordata, Actinopteri, Cyprinodontiformes, Nothobranchiidae. The record is from RefSeq and is a predicted model, not a curated record.
CUCAAUUCAGGGUCUGCAUCCUACGUCGGCCGGAUUCGUCGGCCGGUUACGUCACAGCGCCGCGACUAGGCCUGUCCCAAUUCGAAGACUCCUUCAAAUGCGGUCGACGAAUGCGGCCAUCUUUUCGCCUGAAUGAAGGAUGGGUCGGGUGUAUUCUUCAACAGGUAGCAUUUCCCAAGAUGCCUUGCGGGCCGGCCAGCAGAAAACCUUAAAAACAAUGGCGGACAGUGAAGCGGGAGCUGUCGGAGAGGAUUGCGCAUAUAAAUGAACAAAAGAGAAAACCAGGGAAUUUAUUAAGCUUAGGACGGAGAUGGACCACAUGAUCACCGGAGCAAAGUAUUUGGCGGCUGUGGCAUGGAGACUAUUCUGGAGAAAAUGGGCAUCCAGGGGAAGGUGCCAGCGAUGACCAGCUUCUGGAUCUGAUCAGGGAGGACAUGAGGCUGCAGAGGGGGGCAGAGCA